Molecule: ribosomal RNA, 497 nt
Filed under: uncultured bacterium
Lineage: Bacteria
Description: partial 16S ribosomal RNA
Rfam family: Bacterial small subunit ribosomal RNA
Source: RNAcentral
GAUGAACGCUGGCGGCGUGCCUAAUACAUGCAAGCCGAGCGAACAGACGAGGAGCUUGCUCCUCUGACGUUAGCGGCGGACGGGUGAGUAACACGUGGAUAACCUACCUAUAAGACUGGGAUGACUUCGGGAAACCGGAGCUAAUACCGGAUAAUAUAUUGAACCGCAUGGUUCAAUAGUGAAAGACGGUUUUGCUGUCACUUAUAGAUGGAUCCGCGCCGCAUUAGCUAGUUGGUAAGGUAACGGCUUACCAAGGCAACGAUGCGUAGCCGACCUGAGAGGGUGAUCGGCCACACUGGAACUGAGACACGGUCCAGACUCCUACGGGAGGCAGCAGUAGGGAAUCUUCCGCAAUGGGCGAAAGCCUGACGGAGCAACGCCGCGUGAGUGAUGAAGGUCUUCGGAUCGUAAAACUCUGUUAUUAGGGAAGAACAAAUGUGUAAGUAACUAUGCACGUCUUGACGGUACCUAAUCAGAAAGCCACGGCUAACUACGUG